RNAcentral lists this ribosomal RNA (33 nucleotides) under Cronartium flaccidum. Its description in RNAcentral is "partial 5.8S ribosomal RNA". The record is from RNAcentral. Lineage: Eukaryota; Fungi; Basidiomycota; Pucciniomycetes; Pucciniales; Coleosporiaceae.
UUUCCAAAAGGUACACCUGUUUGAGUGGUCAUG